Molecule: ribosomal RNA, 496 nt
Filed under: uncultured bacterium
Lineage: Bacteria
Description: partial 16S ribosomal RNA
Rfam family: Bacterial small subunit ribosomal RNA
Source: RNAcentral
GAUGAACGCUGGCGGCGUGCCUAAUACAUGCAAGUCGAGCGAACAGACGAGGAGCUUGCUCCUCUGACGUUAGCGGCGGACGGGUGAGUAACACGUGGAUAACCUACCUAUAAGACUGGGAUAACUUCGGGAAACCGGAGCUAAUACCGGAUAAUAUAUUGAACCGCAUGGUUCAAUAGUGAAAGACGGUUUUGCUGUCACUUAUAGAUGGAUCCGCGCCGCAUUAGCUAGUUGGUAAGGUAACGGCUUACCAAGGCGACGAUGCGUAGCCGACCUGAGAGGGUGAUCGGCCACACUGGAACUGAGACACGGUCCAGACUCCUACGGGAGGCAGCAGUAGGGAAUCUUCCGCAAUGGGCGAAAGCCUGACGGAGCAACGCCGCGUGAGUGAUGAAGGUCUUCGGAUCGUAAAACUCUGUUAUUAGGGAAGAGCAAAUGUGUAAGUAACUAUGCACGUCUUGACGGUACCUAAUCAGAAAGCCACGGCUAACUACGU